RNAcentral lists this unclassified non-coding RNA (343 nucleotides) under plant metagenome. Its description in RNAcentral is "partial contains 5.8S ribosomal RNA, internal transcribed spacer 2, and large subunit ribosomal RNA". The stretch from base 1 to 105 matches the Rfam family "5.8S ribosomal RNA", at positions 50 to 154 of the family's 154-position model. The record is from RNAcentral.
GAAGUGCGAUAUGUAAUGUGAAUUGCAGAAUUCCGUGAAUCAUCGAAUUUUUGAACGCAAAUUGCACUCACUGGUAUUCCAGAGAGUAUGCCUGUUUGAGGGUCAGUGUAAUAAAAAAUCGUUGUUGUUACUACCUUUAGUGGUGACGCUUCGGAAUUGAGUCGUCUUACCUUCGGGUUUAAGUGACUUUAAAUUUUUUACACGAAUUCGAAACGUAUUUUAAUGUAUUUAUGUACGUUUAACGAAGUCGGUUAAUUAGGUGCGGUCAUUUUUAUGAUAUUCGCAUCUAUAAUUUUUCUUUUUUUGACCUCAAAUCAGGUAAGAGUACCCGCUGAACUUAAGC